Molecule: small RNA, 127 nt
Filed under: Marmota monax (woodchuck)
Lineage: Eukaryota; Metazoa; Chordata; Mammalia; Rodentia; Sciuridae
Source: RNAcentral
GCUGGGCACAGUGGUUCCUGCCUGUAAUCCCAGCAGCUUGGGAGGCUGAGGCAGGAGGACUGCAAGUUUGAGGCUAGCCUCAGCAACUUUGCAAGGCCCUAAGCAACUUAGCAAGACCCUAUCUCAA